UACAGAGGUGGCGAGCGUUGUUCGGAUUUACUGGGCGUAAAGGGUGCGUAGGCGGUCCUGUGUGUCGGAUGUGAAAGCCCACUGCUCAACGGUGGAACUGCAUACGAAACUGCGGGGCUUGAGUGCAGGAGAGGAGAGCGGAAUUCUUGGUGUAGCGGUGAAAUGCGUUGAUAUCAAGAAGAACACCAGUGGCGAAGGCGGCUCUCUGGAAUGCAACUGACGCUGAGGCACGAAAGUUGGGGGAG
This 245-nucleotide ribosomal RNA is filed under the name uncultured bacterium. RNAcentral describes it as "partial 16S ribosomal RNA". It matches the Rfam family "Bacterial small subunit ribosomal RNA", at positions 524 to 768 of the family's 1533-position model. The record is from RNAcentral.